RNAcentral lists this transfer RNA (82 nucleotides) under Bacteroidales bacterium. RNAcentral's name for it is "tRNA-Tyr". It matches the Rfam family "tRNA". From Rfam's summary of the family: Transfer RNA (tRNA) molecules are approximately 80 nucleotides in length. Their secondary structure includes four short double-helical elements and three loops (D, anti-codon, and T loops). Lineage: Bacteria; Pseudomonadati; Bacteroidota; Bacteroidia; Bacteroidales. The record is from RNAcentral.
GGGGGGAUUCCAGAGCGGUCAAAUGGACCAGACUGUAAAUCUGUCGGCUUAGCCUUCGGAGGUUCGAAUCCUCCUCCCCCCA